Molecule: ribosomal RNA, 254 nt
Filed under: uncultured bacterium
Lineage: Bacteria
Description: partial 16S ribosomal RNA
Rfam family: Bacterial small subunit ribosomal RNA
Source: RNAcentral
CACGUAGGGGGCAAGCGUUGUCCGGAUUUAUUGGGCGUAAAGAGCUCGUAGGCGGCUGAGUAAGUCGGGCGUGAAAUUUCAGGGCUCAACCCUGAAACGCCGCUCGAUACUGCUCUGGCUAGAGUCCGGUAGGGGAGCGUGGAAUUCCCAGUGUAGCGGUGAAAUGCGCAGAUAUUGGGAGGAACACCGGCGGCGAAGGCGGCGCUCUGGGCCGAGACUGACGCUGAGGAGCGAAAGCGUGGGGAGCAAACAGG